Long non-coding RNA from Pimephales promelas (fathead minnow), 700 nucleotides. RefSeq lists it as uncharacterized. NCBI's taxonomy places the organism in Eukaryota, Metazoa, Chordata, Actinopteri, Cypriniformes, Leuciscidae. The record is from RefSeq and is a predicted model, not a curated record.
CUUACGGGCUUGGAACGUCAUGAGGGUGAGUCAUUAAUAACAUAAUUUUCAUUUUUGGGUGAACUAACCCUUUAAUAGACAUAUUGUGAUUGUGUAAGGUUCCUGUUUUUUUUUCUUUUUUUCUUGUAGGCGAUGGAAGAUAACCAUGCCCCAGACUAACUUGCCGCUUGCCGGUUGCAAUCUACUCCAAUCCUCCCCAGGCCAGCACCCAAAUCCUCCACUUACCGCUAGAGCCCAAGCCCACAAAAAUCACUUUGCUUGAGUAGGACUUACAAUAAGGCGAUGGAAGAUAACCAUGCCCCAGACUAACUUGCCGCUUGCCGGUUGCAAUCUACUCCAAUCCUCCCCAGGCCAGCACCCAAAUCCUCCACUUACCGCUAGAGCCCAAGCCCACAAAAAUCACUUUGCUUGAGUAGGACUUUGUUUAAUUUAGCUUUGUUUCCAGUUCAGUUUCAUGUGUUAAUUUAUCUGUUGACAUGGUUUUAAAUUUCCCCUCAUGGCUCUGGUUAAUCAUUCCAUUUAGCUCCAGUGUUAUUGCCCAUUUUUAGUUGUUCUUUCUCUAUGAUUGCUAUUGUAUAGUGGUUGUUCCGUUCAAGUUUUUUUGAUUUGUUAUUUAAUAAUGCUGCACAUAGAUUCUGCUACUUUUUUCAUUCCAACUUCCAACGCUUUUUACACUUUUAUUCAGAAAGGGGGCAUUUAA